GGCUCACCAAGGCUGCGAUCCGUAGCUGGUCUGAGAGGAUGAUCAGCCACAUCGGGACUGAGACACGGCCCGAACUCCUACGGGAGGCAGCAGUGGGGAAUAUUGGACAAUGGGCGAAAGCCUGAUCCAGCCAUGCCGCGUGUGUGAAGAAGGCCUUCGGGUUGUAAAGCACUUUCAGUGAGGAAGAAAGCCUUGAGGUUAAUACCCUCGAGGGAGGACAUCACUCACAGAAGAAGCACCGGCUAACUCCGUGCCAGCAGCCGCGGUAAUACGGAGGGUGCGAGCGUUAAUCGGAAUUACUGGGCGUAAAGCGCGCGUAGGCGGCUUGAUAAGCCGGUUGUGAAAGCCCCGGGCUCAACCUGGGAACGGCAUCCGGAACUGUCAGGCUAGAGUGCAGGAGAGGAAGGUAGAAUUCCCGGUGUAGCGGUGAAAUGCGUAGAGAUCGGGAGGAAUACCAGUGGCGAAGGCGGCCUUCUGGACUGACACUGACGCUGAGGUGCGAAAGCGUGGGUAGCAAACAGGAUUAGAUACCCUGGUAGUCCACGCCGUAAACGAUGUCGACUAGCCGUUGGGCUCCUUGAGAGCUUUGUGGCGCAGUUAACGCGAUAAGUCGACCGCCUGGGGAGUACGGCCGCAAGGUUAAAACUCAAAUGAAUUGACGGGGGCCCGCACAAGCGGUGGAGCAUGUGGUUUAAUUCGAUGCAACGCGAAGAACCUUACCUACCCUUGACAUCGAGAGAACUUUCCAGAGAUGGAUUGGUGCCUUCGGGAGCUCUCAGACAGGUGCUGCAUGGCUGUCGUCAGCUCGUGUUGUGAAAUGUUGGGUUAAGUCCCGUAACGAGCGCAACCCUUGUCCCUAUUUGCCAGCGAUUCGGUCGGGAACUCUAGGGAGACUGCCGGUGACAAACCGGAGGAAGGUGGGGACGACGUCAAGUCAUCAUGGCCCUUACGGGUAGGGCUACACACGUGCUACAAUGGCCGGUACAAUGGGUUGCGAAUCCGCGAGGUGGAGCUAAUCCCAUAAAGCCGGUCUCAGUCCGGAUCGGAGUCUGCAACUCGACUCCGUGAAGUCGGAAUCGCUAGUAAUCGUGAAUCAGAAUG
This 1101-nucleotide ribosomal RNA is filed under the name Halomonas sp. Its description in RNAcentral is "bacterial SSU rRNA". It matches the Rfam family "Bacterial small subunit ribosomal RNA", at positions 262 to 1356 of the family's 1533-position model. Lineage: Bacteria; Pseudomonadati; Pseudomonadota; Gammaproteobacteria; Oceanospirillales; Halomonadaceae. The record is from RNAcentral.